RNAcentral lists this long non-coding RNA (652 nucleotides) under Phasianus colchicus (ring-necked pheasant). RNAcentral describes it as "lncRNA (ENSPCLG00000014136.1)". The record is from RNAcentral. Lineage: Eukaryota; Metazoa; Chordata; Aves; Galliformes; Phasianidae.
AUGAGCAGUGCGAUGACAGCCCAAGGAUGGCAGCAGGAGAUGCAGCACAGCCCUCUCCAGCAGCAAGGGGACAGGCAGCGGUACUGCAGCUCCUCUGGCAGCUUUGCAGCUACGUCAGGAAGUAGAAGAUGUGGAUUUGAAAGAAGAACUCAGUUACUGGGACAUUCCUCUAUUCUUCCCCUAGCUGUCCCCCUGCCUCACUGCAGAUCCACCUUGCAUUCCUGUAGGUUUCCCUUCCAUCCCCCUGGCUGCCUCUUGCUUUCCCCAAGACAUGGUAUUUGUAUGGGGACUGCUGAAUCAUGGCCCGAACCUCUGAUUGAUCACCUGAGGCAAGCAAUGAGUCAGCCAUGGGAGCACAGGAGUAUGGGAGCAUUUGGAGAAGAUAUGGGGAUGUGGGCCACAGGCUGCAGGAGCAGAGUGCUGCGCAGGAGAAGGCAACGUGUGAGCUCUUUGCCUUCCUUGUAUUGAGGGCCCUAGACCUGAACAUAGUAUUCCAGAUGGGGAGUAUGCGCCGCCUCAGCUUCUACAGGGCUCCACAGCACAGACACUUUUUCUUUGCUGCAGUCUUCACGGACGUACCACUGAGCAGAAGAGAUCUGUGCAGACACAGCAGCAGAUGUUUGUGUGCAGAGGGACACUGUUCAUCUCAUUU